GCUCCGUUCUCCAUCAUGGCGUUGUCUCUGCUCUUGGUCUUCUUCUUCAUGUGGUGCACAGGGGCCAAUUCACAGUACACCUUGACUCAACCUGCUGCCCAAUCGUCUCCCCUGGGACAAUCAGCAAAGAUCUCAUGUACCAUGAGUCGAGACAGCCAAGUGGGCAGUUACUACAUAUCCUGGUACCAACAACACCCUGGAAAGAGCCCAAAAUUCCUUCUCUAUGAUGCCAACAGCAAUGGCCGGUUCACGGGGUCCAAGGACUCCUCCGCCAAUGCAGCCUAUUUGACCAUCGCCACCCUCCAGGCUGAUGAUGAGGCUGAUUACUAUUGUGCUGGUGCUUAUGGGAGUGGUAGUACCUGGAG
Molecule: non-coding RNA, 365 nt
Organism: Python bivittatus (Burmese python)
Lineage: Eukaryota; Metazoa; Chordata; Lepidosauria; Squamata; Pythonidae
Source: the annotation of a RefSeq genome assembly